Molecule: ribosomal RNA, 372 nt
Filed under: uncultured Desulfobulbus sp.
Lineage: Bacteria; Pseudomonadati; Thermodesulfobacteriota; Desulfobulbia; Desulfobulbales; Desulfobulbaceae
Description: bacterial SSU rRNA
Rfam family: Bacterial small subunit ribosomal RNA
Source: RNAcentral
AUGGUGCCUUCGGGAACUCUGACACAGGUGGCUGCAUGGCUGUCGUCAGCUCGUGUCGUGAGAUGUUGGGUUAAGUCCCGUAACGAGCGCAACCCUUGUCCUAGUUACCAGCACGUUAUGGUGGGCACUCUAAGGAGACUGCCGGUGACAAACCGGAGGAAGGUGGGGAUGACGUCAAGUCCUCAUGGCCUUUAUGACCAGGGCUACACACGUACUACAAUGGCCGAUACAAAGGGCAGCGACACUGCGAGGUGAAGCCAAUCCCGUAAAAUCGGUCUCAGUCCGGAUUGGAGUCUGCAACUCGACUCCAUGAAGUUGGAAUCGCUAGUAAUCGUGGAUCAGCAUGCCACGGUGAAUACGUUCCCGGGCCUU